AUUCCUGGGAGCCUGCGCUCCCGGUUCAUGGAAUUGUGCUCCCGGCCCCGGGCGAAAACAGCAGCAACAACAACAAAAAGCAGGCGAGCCUUUGGCUGGGUUUUGGGAGGCUCCAGAAAUGAGUUCCAGAAGAAAGUGUUCCGGGCAGGAGUUCAGGGCAUGGACAGCGGGAGGAGACAGCGGGAAAAGCUGGAUAAUCCUGGCCUUGCGUCACCUCCCGCGGCCCCACGUGCACAGCCAAGCAAGGAGGGCUUGAAGGCGCCUUUCCCCUGCUGGGGAAGGGAUGGAUCAGGGAACACCAGCAAGGAGAAGGGAUUUGGAUCCCUCAGGAACACCGGAGGACUGGCAGGGAGCUGAUUUUCCAGCACACUGGGAGGGCGUGGGGAGGUGUUUGCCAGGCUUGGAUGGAGGUGGAGGAUGGAGAGAUCCAAACCUGGGAGAGACUCAUCCGUGCACAGCACAAACAUCUGGAGCCAAUCACCCUUCCAGCUGUGCCUGGCUUCAUCCCAGAGGAUGCUAUGCCCACAGAGAGGCAGGAAGAAACUGGUGGAGUUGGGAUGGUGAGGGCCAUGAACUGG
Long non-coding RNA from Passer domesticus (house sparrow), 578 nucleotides. RefSeq lists it as uncharacterized. The record is from RefSeq and is a predicted model, not a curated record. Lineage: Eukaryota; Metazoa; Chordata; Aves; Passeriformes; Passeridae. The transcript is spliced from 3 exons.